This 74-nucleotide transfer RNA is filed under the name marine sediment metagenome. RNAcentral's name for it is "tRNA-His". The record is from RNAcentral.
GUGUUCGUAGCUUAGUGCAAAGCCCCUCCCUGUGAAGGAGGAAGUCGUCGGGUCGUAUCCGUCCGUCCACCCCA